UCACUGGUGGACCACCUAAAAUCCAUCUCCUAACAAGCCACUAUUUAUCCAUCAUGACUUGACCUGAGCCACCCCCUCCUGGAGGCCCUCCCUGUUUCCCCAGGCUGGAUCAGGCAGCUCUUCUACACUCCCAGGUCCCACAGAGUCCCACAUUGAAGUCUAUCUAUGGAUUCACUCGUCUGUCUACCCUCUAGACUCUGAGGUUCUUAGAGGCAGAUAGGAGUCUUACAUCAAUAAUUAUUAUGAAGAUGAUUAUAAUGCAGAAAAAGCAGCUAAAAUAUAUUGAGAACUUACAUGCUAGGCAUUGUUAUAAGCACAUUACAUGUAGUAAAUUACUUGAUCCUCACAGCCACCUACCCACUGGAUGCCAAUAGCAGCUGCCCUGUCCCUCUCCCCGUUGUGGCAACCAAAAAUGUCUCCAGGCAUCGCCAAACAUCUCCUGCCAGGCAGGCUCGCCCCCAGCUGAGAACCACGGCUCCUGGCUUUAGAGCCCCAGCAUGGCACAGGAGGCCUGCGCACAGCAGAGGCCCAAAGACUGCUGGAAGCAUCAACUCAUGACUCACGCCCUCAACCUGAACUGAUUCAGAAAUGAGACAUCUUCUCACUCUCAGCCCUGGCAGGUGACGCUCAUCUCUGUGGCAGACACCUGAAAGUUCUCAUUCUUAUCACCCCUCCUUUCAUCAAGUUCCUGGGUGCUUACCCAAUAGGUAGGCCCUGUGAAUAUGUGGAGAAAUCUCUGGCCACUCCCAAAAACUACAGGACAAGAUUGCUGGGGAGGCCAGUUCAGCCCUCCUCUUUGCCCCACCAAGCAAGAGCUCUACGCUGAGAUCCAGGUCUCAGUCAACAGAGGGUAGCACGGGGUUAGGGGACUCCAGAUCCACUCCCACCCCCGGCUGUGAGACUUGGGGAAACUCCAUGUCCUCAUGUGUGACACGGGGUGAUGACACUGGUGAUGAUACAAGCCUGUCGGUUUCCCUAACCUAUGCAAAGCCCAAGACACACAGAAUCAAUACCCAGUAAAUGGGGCCUACUGGAUUAUUAUUGAAAGAACAAUCUUUUCGGUGACAAUUCUGCCCUUUCCCUGCUAUAGUUAGUCUAUUUUACAACAACUUGAACGCACUAGUCCCCAACCCCUUCGAAAGCAUUACGAAAAAAAGGAAGACAUUUUUAUAAAAAUAAAAUGGGUUGGUCAGCACUUUAGGAAUUCUCUUUUUACCUCAGAUCCUGCUGACCUUCAGAAAAUGUGUGGAGGAGGUAAAACGUGCUUCCAACACCCUCUCCAUUCCACACUUUGUACUUUUCCUCCCAGGCUACCUGGCAGUGGAUCGACUAAAUCUUACUAAAGUGUUAGUGGGUCAGUGAGCCGCUUGUCAUAAUCAAAAUACUAGCACAUCUAUACCACUUACUUUAUAUCGAGAACUGUACGCAUCUAGUGUAUGUUCAUAUUUGUCUCACAAGAACCCUAUGAAGCAGCUGAUAUCGUUUCCCCAUUUUAUAUAGGGGGAAAAUGAGGCUCAGAGAGGGUGAGUAAUUUGCCCAAGGUCACACAGCUUCUAAGUAGCAGAGCCAAGAUUCAUUCUCAGGCAACCUGGCUCCUCCACCCCCCUAACCACUACUUUAUCCUGCAUCUCAGGAAAGAGGUGAUUUCCUGGAUGGCGACACCCUGACCCUGACACAGGGAAGCAAGGAUCCCCCC
This 1696-nucleotide long non-coding RNA is filed under the name Homo sapiens (human). Its description in RNAcentral is "HSALNT0268793". The record is from RNAcentral. Lineage: Eukaryota; Metazoa; Chordata; Mammalia; Primates; Hominidae.